Molecule: ribosomal RNA, 505 nt
Filed under: uncultured bacterium
Lineage: Bacteria
Description: bacterial SSU rRNA
Rfam family: Bacterial small subunit ribosomal RNA
Source: RNAcentral
AAUCAACGCUGGCGGCGUGCCUAACACAUGCAAGUCGAGCGCGAAAGGGGACUUCGGUUCCUGAGUAGAGCGGCGGACGGGUGAGUAACACGUGGGCAACCUAUCUCCGGGUGGGGAAUAACUUCGGGAAACCGGAGCUAAUUCCGCAUAACAUUUCGGGCUCAUAAGAGUCUGUAAUCAAAGCUGGGGACCCUUCGGGGCCUGGCGCCUGGUGAGGGGCCCGCGGCCGAUUAGCUUGUUGGUGAGGUAAAGGCUCACCAAGGCUGCGAUUGGUAGCCGGCCUGAGAGGGCGGACGGCCACACUGGGACUGAGACACGGCCCAGACUCCUACGGGAGGCAGCAGUGGGGAAUUUUUGUCAAUGGGGGAAACCCUGAACAAGCAACGCCGCGUGGAGGAUGAAGGUCUUCGGGUCGUAAACUCCUGUCGGAGGGGACGAAAGCGAUUGAGGUUAAUACCCUCAGUUGUUGACGGUACCCUAUGAGGAAGCCCCGGCUAACUCCGUG